This 216-nucleotide ribosomal RNA is filed under the name uncultured Glomus. RNAcentral describes it as "partial small subunit ribosomal RNA". The stretch from base 39 to 216 matches the Rfam family "Eukaryotic small subunit ribosomal RNA", at positions 685 to 864 of the family's 1831-position model. The record is from RNAcentral. Lineage: Eukaryota; Fungi; Glomeromycota; Glomeromycetes; Glomerales; Glomeraceae.
GGGUCAGCAAGUUGGUCGUGCCACUGGUAUGUACUGGCUUUACUGAUUCCUCCUUCUUGCAGAACCGUAAUGCCAUUAAUUUGGUGUUGCGGGGAAACAGGACUGUUACUUUGAAAAAAUUAGAGUGUUUAAAGCAGGCUAACGCUUGAAUACAUUAGCAUGGAAUAAUGAAAUAGGACGUUCGAUCCUAUUUUGUUGGUUUCUAGGAUUGACGUA